GGUCCGCAUUUUGGAAAAUACACACCAUUUGCUUCUUUUGCGACGACGCAUUCUCCAAAUUCGACACCCGGGUUUGUUUG
RNAcentral lists this non-coding RNA (80 nucleotides) under Astrosyne radiata. Lineage: Eukaryota; Bacillariophyta; Fragilariophyceae; Cyclophorales; Cyclophoraceae. The record is from RNAcentral.